This 260-nucleotide ribosomal RNA is filed under the name uncultured Lactobacillus sp. Its description in RNAcentral is "partial 16S ribosomal RNA". It matches the Rfam family "Bacterial small subunit ribosomal RNA", at positions 103 to 355 of the family's 1533-position model. Lineage: Bacteria; Bacillati; Bacillota; Bacilli; Lactobacillales; Lactobacillaceae. The record is from RNAcentral.
UGGGUGAGUAACGCGUGGGUAACCUGCCCUUAAGUCUGGGAUACCAUUUGGAAACAGAUGCUAAUACCGGAUAAAAGCUACUUUCGCAUGAAAGAAGUUUAAAAGGCGGCGUAAGCUGUCGCUAAAGGAUGGACCUGCUAUGCAUUAGCUAGUUGGUAAGGUAACGGCUUACCAAGGCGAUGAUGCAUAGCCGAGUUGAGAGACUGAUCGGCCACAUUGGGACUGAGACACGGCCCAAACUCCUACGGGAGGCAGCAGUU